Molecule: ribosomal RNA, 497 nt
Filed under: uncultured bacterium
Lineage: Bacteria
Description: partial 16S ribosomal RNA
Rfam family: Bacterial small subunit ribosomal RNA
Source: RNAcentral
GAUGAACGCUGGCGGCGUGCCUAAUACAUGCAAGUCGAGCGAACAGACGAGGAGCUUGCUCCUCUGACGUUAGCGGCGGACGGGUGAGUAACACGUGGAUAACCUACCUAUAAGACUGGGAUAACUUCGGGAAACCGGAGCUAAUACCGGAUAAUAUAUUGAACCGCAUGGUUCAAUAGUGAAAGACGGUUUUGCUGGCACUUAUAGAUGGAUCCGCGCCGCAUUAGCUAGUUGGUAAGGUAACGGCUUACCAAGGCAACGAUGCGUAGCCGACCUGAGAGGGUGAUCGCCCACACUGGAACUGAGACACGGUCCAGACUCCUACGGGAGGCAGCAGUAGGGAAUCUUCCGCAGUGGGCGAAAGCUUGACGGAGCAACGCCGCGUGAGUGAUGAAGGUCUUCGGAUCGUAAAACUCUGUUAUUAGGGAUGAACAACUGUGUAAGUAACUAUGCACGUCUUGACGGUACCUAAUCAGAAAGCCCCGGCUAACUACGUG